AUUACAAGCCAGCCACAUCCCAGUUUUAUUCUGGUUAGAUAAUGAGAGCGGUUCCAGCGGCGGCGACUGGGCUCGACUGUGUGAUGGUCAACGCCUCAAUGGGGCAGCCGGGAUGGCGUGGUGAGCGUCGGCUGGCCUCGGUCGCUGUGGUGGAUGAUCGGAAGCAUAGUUUGCGGAGGCGGCGCUAUUGUGGCAGUGGCGGUCACCUCAGAUCCUCCAUGGCUGGCGCGACUCCCGUGACUUCCUCUCCCUCGGCUCGUAAGGUUCCCGUUCCUUCCAUCCCCCAACUCUCUUUUUUCAUUGUCUUUGAUUCCUCCCUCUGAAUGCUGACCCCAUUAUGGAGGAGGCCACCACGCCAUGAGCCCCAGGACUGACAUCGGAUUGAUUCGGGGGUGUGAGAAACUGCUGCAUUGGCCUCGCGGUUCGGCCGUGUACGGUCUGGCGGCGGACGACAGCGUCGUAGCGGUAUGACGCCGGGCGGCCGGGGGACCAUUUGGAGCUGAAGCGGUGGGUUAGAGGAGUGCCAGAUUGGAUAGGAUACAUGGCCUUCAUUUUUGCAACAUGGAUUUGUUAGUGUUCGUAACUUUCCCAAUUUUCUGAUGUUGAUUUCCGAGAUCUGGAGAGUUUGAUCUAAACUAAAGAAUAAUUUACCUGGCCCAAUAAAUUCCCCGAUGCAGGGUGUAGCUCUGUUACAGACUACCAGCUCAUACCUUAAAUACAAGUAUGUUGAUCAAAUCCUGUUUUUACUUUAUCCGCCUCAUUCUUUGUUUGGGCACCUCUCUAUAUAGAUUCAUCUAUGUGUUUGAUUGUUGUAUUCACAGAAACAAUUGUGUACGAGAGAUUAAUUUAUGCGUCGUUUGAAAUUCAAUUUUAGGGCUAGUAAGAAAAGGCAUUUUUUUAGUACUUAUCAGUGC
This 914-nucleotide ribosomal RNA is filed under the name Triticum aestivum (bread wheat). Its description in RNAcentral is "partial small subunit ribosomal RNA". Lineage: Eukaryota; Viridiplantae; Streptophyta; Magnoliopsida; Poales; Poaceae. The record is from RNAcentral.